AACGCACCUUGCGCCCUUUGGUAUUCCGAAGGGCACACCUGUUUGAGUGUCAUUAAUUUCUCAACCCUAUCAUUCUUUAAUUGGAGUGAUAGUGGUUGGAUGUUGAGUGUUGCUGGAUUAAUUUUUAGUUCAGCUCACUUCAAAUAUAUGAGCAGGCUCCUAUUUUCUCGGAUUGACUCAACGUAAUAAGUAAAUUUCGUUGAGGAUGCCUUUUGGCGGCCGAAAUUUAGGGAAGUGCCGCUACUAGUUGUCUAUUACACUUUAGACCUCAAAUCAGGUGGGACUACCCGCUGAACUUAA
Molecule: unclassified non-coding RNA, 300 nt
Filed under: uncultured fungus
Lineage: Eukaryota; Fungi
Description: sequence contains ITS2
Rfam family: 5.8S ribosomal RNA (bases 1-52)
Source: RNAcentral